Non-coding RNA from Dermacentor andersoni, 2509 nucleotides. NCBI's taxonomy places the organism in Eukaryota, Metazoa, Arthropoda, Arachnida, Ixodida, Ixodidae. The record is from RefSeq and is a predicted model, not a curated record.
UCCAUACGGGGCGUGCACACGACGCCUGGAAUCCAUUCUAUGCUCGCGUAGCAGGUACUGACAGCAGCAGGAGCGAAACGUCGGUGUUGCACAGCGGUGUCACAGAGCCACCGCGCUGCGAUCACUUUGGCGGCACGCUCCAAAUUGGAGGCACGCUCCAAAUUUGUCAGACAUCUCAUUCCGUGCUGGAAACACUGGGAGGCAGGAAGUUUGAAAAAAUGGUCACUGCCGCCCACAAUGUCUCCGUCGCGGGUUCGUUAGGCCAGUUGUGCGUCAUUCUAAGCCGUUUUGUACAUUUAUAGUGGAUAUUAACUGGAGUCAUUUAGCUGUGCUGAUGCUGUUUGCCGUGUGUAUUGCAUCAGUGCUUCGUGACAUCGGCUGUAUUGCGUGUUUUCGCCGACGGCUUACUGCCACAAUGGCGGGAUCUGCGUUCGCCGCCUUCGUGUCUCGGUGCGGCUUUGUACGUCGCACGUUCGGAUAACACUUUUUCCGACGGCUGGACAUCCUUCUUGUACCUUGGCGCUAGCUGGAUGACGGGACCUCAUCAUGAUCAGUGAAGCCAAUGUACUGUACCCUCUAUGGUCCUCCCAGUGCUUUUUUAUAUGGCUUAAGGCCAGGGAGCGCUUCGUGGUAAAAUAGCUAGUUGGUGUCUCACAAACGGGCAUUUUUUUGCACUGGUCCAUUAUAAGCUGCCACUACUAUAACCAAUUUCUCAGCGCCAGUGUACAUAAACAGUUCUACUAAUUAUUAGUUUCCCUAAGCAUUACAAAAUUUACCUGUAGGUAGUCACUGCUAUGUAAGAAAAAAAUUAACUCUUGUGUCAUACGAGUAUUCCAUACAUGAGUAAAAAUUUGCUACAACAGUGUACAUUACACCUUGCUUCCCUAAUGCACAAAUGUAUUCAAGCCAGUAUUUGAUUAGUUCGGUAUUCUAAACGUUUUCUGUGAUUUAGUUUGUUCACAGCAAUUUACUGUACAGCAUCAGCAAGCAGUCUAAUUUAAGAGUUAUGCGUGCUGUAAAAGGUGUGCUUUGCUGCUAGAAUUUAUAAAACAUGGGCCGAGGCUUCCAUACAAAGACGACCUUCAAUUUAGCUCUACCACCGUGAGCACUUGGCUGGCACUUGCAAAAUAAAUCACACCAGGUAGCUUGUGCCAGACUGUUUUUUAACCUUAUUGUGAGGAGAUCACACAGUGAUGUGUGGAGGCGCCUGCAUCUGAGAUAUAGAUUGCGCUGCAACAUAUUUGCAUGUAGAACAGGCAUGAUGCUGAGGGUUCCAGCAGUUUGCAGAAGUCUUUUAAAAUUUUGUCAUAACUAAUUUUACCUGCGCUGUUUUUAUCACCUAUUUCAAUACUAUCAUUGGAGGUGUUAUCAGAAUUUAGCAAUCUAUUUGCCCUAGCCCAUUAGCCUGCCACAUUUGCCUUUUCACUAGGUGGGCAAUUAUUCAGCAUGGACCAUUACUUGAAUACACCUUUUUGUGCGCAGUGGCUUCUCAAUUGCGAAUCAACAUAGAUGCUCAGAAUUACCUGAGGCUAUAGAUGCACUGAUGAAUUUGCUACCUAUAUGAAUAACUUUGCACUUUCUCACGCAAACAGCAUGUUAAGACUUCUAAGACAGUGGGCAAUGUUAUCAUUUGAUCACACCAUGAGAUACCUUCAAUUUUGUAUGGCGCAUCACCAAGGUGUUGCAUCAUUUGUGUGAGGUAUUGCCGUAAGCCAAUUAGGGUCACAUGAAAAUAUAUCAACAAAAGUGAUUGAUCCAGCUAGGGGUGUUGCUUUGGAACACUACUUUAUCACCAGUCCUCCUUUGUAUUCUACAUGCUUACUCUGUACUGUGUCAUGUUUAACUUUGAAAGAAAGGAAACAGCUAGGCAGCGCAAAAUGCCAAACUUGAUUUUAGUUCAACAAUAUAAAACUCUAUUUAACUUUUUAAUUAAGUCAGUACAUCAUACCUGCAGAGUGGAUUACUGUGUUAAACUGAUUAUAUUUUGCAGGAAGCUUCUCAGACUUGUUUGACAGGUUGAUAAGUGGCUUUUUAGCCACAAAACACCAUAUAUUAAUUUAAAGGCUGACUUUGACUCUGCUUUGCAAUUUAAUGACUAUAUGCCAGGAAAUAUACUAGUCAUAUCAAAUAUUAUCACAUACAAACCUUAAAAUACCUGUAAUUUAAGAGAAAGGAGUGCUUAAAUUUAUUUUUAAUGUGAGCCAAACUUCUUACUUAGCACAUAUUGCUAAUUCAAGUUCCAAUUUCAAUAUUCCCAUUUCCUCCCUCGCCUUUUAUUCCCCUCUUCUUUGCAGGUAUUGCUUGCCUAUGUCUACAAGAACCAUCACGCGUGACCUGUGACAGCAAGCUUCUGUGGGCAGGCAGUGCUCUCCUAUGAAGGCUGGCCUGCUCUGGCAGCGGCGGCAUUCAUCUUCAAGAUUUAUCCAUGAUCGCAUUUGUUUGUCACUCUUGUUAUUUACACUUUCUGUAUCUUUUCUAAUUUAUUAGGUAAUAAAGUAGGAGUAUGUGA